GGAAAAGAGAAAAAGAAAAAAAUGAAUAUAGUGAAGGAAAAGGGGAAACAAGAUGAAAGGAUUGAGGAGCUACAGAAUGCUAGAGAUAGAAUGUCUAAGCUGCUUAAAGAGGAACAGACUAAAGUCAGUGCUCAUCUGAAGACAUUGAAGUAUUAUGAGAGCCAACAGAAAGCCUUUGAUCUGGAACGACAGUCAGAACCGUGAAACCAAACAGUCAUUAGUGACACUAUCACUACAGAGCCUUGAAGUCCUGCUUGAUGGUGCUGAAUCUGAUGCAGAUGACAUCAUUUCCAGUGCCGGGGAAGUUGGGAGUGCCGUCCAACAUUUGCCAAGGAAAGUGACAUUGAUGAAAAGUGAAUAUGAAAGCUGAAAUUAGAAAAACAUCAAAUGAAGGAACAUUACGAGAAAAUUCAACAGACCGAUAUGUUGAAAAAUAAGAAAAUUAAUGACCUAACAAAACAAUGUGCAAUAUUUCGGGAGCAAUUGGAGAGUAUGAAAAUGCAGACAUGUUGUGCAUUAACACCAAAAUUUGAACAUCCUGAGGGCAGCGAGAAUAUUAACUUGAACUUGACACCAGACUUGUUCACAUCACCUGUCAAAAAUACACAAUCUGAGCAUUCAGAGAAGCCAAGUACUUCCUGUGAUACUGCUUUAUCUGAAAGAUCACUUGGGAAAUCCCAGAAAAGAUCGUGUGAUAGUGAAGACACAGAGAACCAGGAACAAACAAAAUACCUCAAAAUUACGUCUGCAGCGGAGAAAAAAGCUUAAAAGUUGAAGCGUUUCAAAAGUGAAAGUGCUAUCAAAGGUUUUAAUUCUAUAACAACAUUAGCUUCCA
This is a long non-coding RNA of Ruditapes philippinarum (Manila clam), 835 nucleotides long. RefSeq lists it as uncharacterized. The record is from RefSeq and is a predicted model, not a curated record. The transcript has 2 exons. Lineage: Eukaryota; Metazoa; Mollusca; Bivalvia; Venerida; Veneridae.